GCCGUAAACGAUGUCUACUUGGAGGUUGUGCCCUUGAGGCGUGGCUUCCGGAGCUAACGCGUUAAGUAGACCGCCUGGGGAGUACGGCCGCAAGGUUAAAACUCAAAUGAAUUGACGGGGGCCCGCACAAGCGGUGGAGCAUGUGGUUUAAUUCGAUGCAACGCGAAGAACCUUACCUGGUCUUGACAUCCACGGAAGUUUUCAGAGAUGAGAAUGUGCCUUCGGGAACCGUGAGACAGGUGCUGCAUGGCUGUCGUCAGCUCGUGUUGUGAAAUGUUGGGUUAAGUCCCGCAACGAGCGCAACCCUUAUCCUUUGUUGCCAGCGGUUAGGCCGGGAACUCAAAGGAGACUGCCAGUGAUAAACUGGAGGAAGGUGGGGAUGACGUCAAGUCAUCAUGGCCCUUACGACCAGGGCUACACACGUGCUACAAUGGCGCAUACAAAGAGAAGCGACCUCGCGAGAGCAAGCGGACCUCAUAAAGUGCGUCGUAGUCCGGAUUGGAGUCUGCAACUCGACUCCAUGAAGUCGGAAUCGCUAGUAAUCGUGGAUCAGAAUGCCACGGUGAAUACGUUCCCGGGCCUUGUACACACCGCCCGUCACACCAUGGGAGUGGGUUGCAAAAGAAGUAGGUAGCUUAACCUUCGGGAGGGCGCUUACCACUUUGUGAUUCAUGACUGGGGUGAAGUCGUAACAAGGUAACCGUAGGGGAACCUGC
Molecule: ribosomal RNA, 716 nt
Filed under: Salmonella enterica subsp. enterica serovar Kentucky
Lineage: Bacteria; Pseudomonadati; Pseudomonadota; Gammaproteobacteria; Enterobacterales; Enterobacteriaceae
Description: bacterial SSU rRNA
Rfam family: Bacterial small subunit ribosomal RNA
Source: RNAcentral